AACGAACGCUGGCGGCAUGCCUAACACAUGCAAGUCGAACGAGACCUUCGGGUCUAGUGGCGCACAGGUGCGUAACGCGUGGGAAUCUGCCCUUGGGUUCGGAAUAACAGCGAGAAAUUGCUGCUAAUACCGGAUGAUGACGUAAGUCCAAAGAUUUAUCGCCCAAGGAUGAGCCCGCGUAGGAUUAGCUAGUUGGUGAGGUAAAGGCUCACCAAGGCGACGAUCCUUAGCUGGUCUGAGAGGAUGAUCAGCCACACUGGGACUGAGACACGGCCCAGACUCCUACGGGAGGCAGCAGUGGGGAAUAUUGGACAAUGGGCGAAAGCCUGAUCCAGCAAUGCCGCGUGAGUGAUGAAGGCCUUAGGGUUGUAAAGCUCUUUUUACCCCGGGAUGAUAAUGACAGUACCGGGAGAAUAAGCUCCGGCUAACUCCGUGCCAGCAGCCGCGGUAAU
Molecule: ribosomal RNA, 452 nt
Filed under: uncultured bacterium
Lineage: Bacteria
Description: bacterial SSU rRNA
Rfam family: Bacterial small subunit ribosomal RNA
Source: RNAcentral